Molecule: unclassified non-coding RNA, 257 nt
Filed under: Ascomycota sp.
Lineage: Eukaryota; Fungi; Ascomycota
Description: partial contains small subunit ribosomal RNA, internal transcribed spacer 1, and 5.8S ribosomal RNA
Rfam family: Eukaryotic small subunit ribosomal RNA (bases 1-47)
Source: RNAcentral
AAAGUCGUAACAAGGUCUCCGUUGGUGAACCAGCGGAGGGAUCAUUACGAAAGGAGUACUCGUACUCUUAAACCCUAUGUGAACAUACCUUUAGUCAGUUGCUUCGGCGGGAGGCCCCUGGGAGGGGCCCCGGGGCCCGGCCUGAGCCGGGCUCCCGCCGGAGGAGCGCAACCAAAACUCUUGCUGUACCCAGUGGCACGUCCGAGUAAACAAACAAAAACAAAUUAAAACUUUCAACAACGGAUCUCUUGGUUCUG